AGCCCGCCUGCCAGCCUGGGUUUAGGGUUGUUUAUUGUGGCCUGUAAAGUGUCUCCUUUACAUGAUGCCACCUUGAUAUACAAGCCUCGCCCUAGCAGUGACCACACACAUCAGCCUGCUGCAUUUUGUACCAAGUGCCCUCACCAACCCAUGUCAACUGCCUUAAAACUAAUAUAAAUAAGUAUGUAAACAUCCCGAAGGUCACCUGCCUUGUGUUCCCAGUCCAACUCACCAACAACACCAUACUCAGUUAGCCCUCUGCUUCCCUACUCCUUGGCACUCUCCAGCUGAGUCUCCGUGCAUUCAAAGCCCACCACAGUCUUGCUCUCCUGGUCUGCCACUGUCUACAACACUAUAUUACGUCUGUGCCAUUAACCCAAGCCUGUCAUAUGAUGUCUAAAUGGUAUGAAUGUGUCAAACGUGCAACAACAACCACUGGCGUGUCUGCUGGGCAUGACGUCUCCCACCACCUUGACACCCGUCUCCACUGCAGUCGGCACAUCACCCGCCUCCACAGCAGCCGCCACUGGUGCCACCGCGCCCGUCUCCAACUCUAGUGCCGGACAGCUCGUGUCAUGCUAGCUCCUGUAGUUCUGCCUCCACUGGCUGCACCUGCAUGCACGCGUGCACACAUGUGAACACACCCUGCACUCCUGCCGCAAGGUGCCAAUGCCAAUGCAAGGCUGCCGGCCAAGAACAGAGUGCUUGGUAGUGCACCGGACCUAUCUCAUGAAGCGGGCCUGUAUGUGUUUCGGUGUGUAUGCCCACUGGUGAUGCGGACACCCACCGUUGCUAAACACAAUGUUGGAGGUGUGGCGGCAGUCCAGCCAGCCGACCUGGGGGAAGGGGCGUGUGGCAGCAGGCGGGUAUGUGACACGGACUAGAGGUACCAGGAAGUGAUUUAGACAUACAUACCAUACAGCGCUAGUAAGGGAGGCAGCAAACAGUCAUCUCUUGAAGGCUGGGGCUCCGACUAGCAAACACAACGUGAGUGAAGGGGUUGCGAACCAUCUUGCGCCAGGGUUGCAGCCGCUGGGGACCUGCAUCUACCUGCAUCUACGGCAUCUCCUCAAACAUAUUUCCCAUGGACUCACCCUCGAACGGCUCCUAGAAUCGUCCUCAAGAAUCGCAUGGCGGAGGAUCCUGCAAGUACACAUACACACACGGGGUUGUGACAUAUGGCCGGGCGGGCAAUCCAGGCUGCAGGUUUAAAGCCUCCCGUCUUCAUUUUAACCUGUGGACUAACCUGUGGACUUCCGUGAGGCGCGACAACGGUCGUGCUGAACGUGAUGUUGAAUGUAUGGCGUUUUUGACCAAGACUUCCCCAUUAAAACAUUAAAAGCACAGCUGAUCAUUUAUGAGGCACAGUUGUAAGUCUCAUGUGAUAGCUGGCUUCAGCUGACGUCUCAGCAGCAGCGUCGCCGAGCUGGUCAACGAGCGGUCAGCAGCGCGAGAACUCGCGUCCCAAGCCAACAAAGCAGCCUCAGCCACCAGCUCUUGUUCUACUGACAUUACAACUAGCCUUAUUUUUGUGUUUACAAAGCAAAAUAGCGACUGGCGAGGGGCGGAAUGAGGGAGAGCGAGCAAACGCUCUAUAAUGAAAUGUAGUAUAUAAAUUAUAUGUAUACCGGUAUAGUUCAGUUAUCGUAACAGCAUAUACAAAUUGGCUGCUCGAACUGAAGUUGAAGGCCCGCAGGAACCCCAUGCAGAGGCUAGCGUUUUCCCCUCAGACCCCAACGGAAGGCCUGCGUAAUGUACUGGGAAAGAUGUCAGCUUUUAUCUUAGUGUACUAGGAAGGAUGUAAGAAGGAGAAAACGGCCUCAACCCGGUGAUGUAAAGUACUCUACACUCCUGGACGGCUUUGGGUGUUGGGGUUGAUUGAUUUUUAUAGGCAUUAGUCAAUAUACACAGUGUGGCCAAGUUCAAAUACACAACUCGACGAGUUGACGAACAUGGGUUUGCGUCCCCCGGCCGGGGGACGCUCGACCACUUUCUCUGAGACACCCGGAAAGCCCGAAUUUCUGGGACAAGUACUCUAAAUGCAUAACAGACUAUUGAUAUCAACCGCUAAAGCCAUGCGCCAAGUGACAGCAGUGACCGGGGGGUUCAUUGCUGCCUCGGUCGACACAGCCAGCUGCUCAGGUGCAUUCCUAUGCUCAGGAAGCAUACACUACAUGCAACUACAUUACUAAAGUAAGUUUACAGCUCAGGAAGCGCGGCGGUCUGAGCUCGGCCGUCAGCGACUGCCGGAGGGUUACUGGGGGGCACGCUGGGGGGGUCAGGGGGUCGGCAAGGUGCGAGGCCGCCCCAAGGACCCCACAGUCCUCACCCCAGACUUCUCGCCCCUGUGUUCCCACGUAAUAAACACCACAUUUGGGAGCUAUUACAAGGCUUUCUGGGCUGGCCAGGGUACAGGGGCCAGGUGGGUGCAGGGGGGGAUUAGGGGGGGGGGGGGGUUAUGGGGGUUGGUGAGGUAAGGG
Molecule: long non-coding RNA, 2480 nt
Filed under: Chlamydomonas reinhardtii
Lineage: Eukaryota; Viridiplantae; Chlorophyta; Chlorophyceae; Chlamydomonadales; Chlamydomonadaceae
Description: long non-coding RNA (CREI_LNC000217)
Source: RNAcentral